Molecule: transfer RNA, 90 nt
Filed under: Kushneria marisflavi
Lineage: Bacteria; Pseudomonadati; Pseudomonadota; Gammaproteobacteria; Oceanospirillales; Halomonadaceae
Also listed under: 1 other name
Description: tRNA-Ser
Rfam family: tRNA
About the family: Transfer RNA (tRNA) molecules are approximately 80 nucleotides in length. Their secondary structure includes four short double-helical elements and three loops (D, anti-codon, and T loops). Further hydrogen bonds mediate the characteristic L-shaped molecular structure. tRNAs have two regions of fundamental functional importance: the anti-codon, which is responsible for specific mRNA codon recognition, and the 3' end, to which the tRNAs corresponding amino acid is attached (by aminoacyl-tRNA synthetases). tRNAs cope with the degeneracy of the genetic code in two manners: having more than one tRNA (with a specific anti-codon) for a particular amino acid; and 'wobble' base-pairing, i.e. permitting non-standard base-pairing at the 3rd anti-codon position.
Source: RNAcentral
GGAGAGGUGGUCGAGUGGUCGAAGGCGCCGGUCUCGAAAACCGGAGUGGGUUUACGCCCACCGAGGGUUCGAAUCCCUCCCUCUCCGCCA